AAUAAAAAACCUUUAAACUACACUUAAUUAGAAACAUAGGGAGUAUUAAAUAUUUUGGAAGUUUUAUUUUAGUAAAUAAUCGUGUAGUUAAUGUGGAGAGAUUUUGGGAAGAUUGUUAAAUGUCAAAUAUUUAAUUCGAAGAUUUUCUUUCUAAUUAUCAAAAACAAACAUUAAAUUUCAAUGGCAGCCAUUGUAAAUAAAUCUCGAUUACAGGAUUUAUUUCACAAAAUGACUGCAAAAAUGUAUAUAUAGUAAUGCUAGUAAACCAGAAUGAAACCAAACCAAAAACAAAACUAAAUAUCCAACUGGUAUGAAUUCAUGUU
Molecule: small RNA, 323 nt
Filed under: Arabidopsis thaliana (thale cress)
Lineage: Eukaryota; Viridiplantae; Streptophyta; Magnoliopsida; Brassicales; Brassicaceae
Description: ATSL280190
Source: RNAcentral